UACGUAGGUGGCAAGCGUUAUCCGGAAUUAUUGGGCGUAAAGCGCGCGCAGGCGGUUUCUUAAGUCUGAUGUGAAAGCCCACGGCUCAACCGUGGAGGGUCAUUGGAAACUGGGGAACUUGAGUGCAGAAGAGAAAAGCGGAAUUCCACGUGUAGCGGUGAAAUGCGUAGAGAUGUGGAGGAACACCAGUGGCGAAGGCGGAUUUUUGGUCUGUAACUGACGCUGAGGCGCGAAAGCGUGGGGAGCAA
Molecule: ribosomal RNA, 248 nt
Filed under: uncultured bacterium
Lineage: Bacteria
Description: partial 16S ribosomal RNA
Rfam family: Bacterial small subunit ribosomal RNA
Source: RNAcentral